AGGAUAUGGAAAGCCAAAAUUCCUCUCAAGAUCAAAAUCUUUUUAUGGCAGUUAUCCCAAGACGCAGUACUCACAAGACAAGUGAUGAGGGAAAGAAAGUGGCCAGGGAAUCCUCGUUGUUCUUUCUGCAGGGAGGUAGAAACCUCUAAGCACCUUCUUUUCACUUGCCCCGUUUCUAGGGUGGUUUGGAGAUCUAUUGGGGCAGUAGUGGGCACUGAUAUGUGCCCCAAGAACUAUUGGCAAUAUUUCGUCUGGUGCAGUAAAUUUCUUCCUGGCAAAGAAACCUUCUAUACUGUGGGCUUAGCUGCUACUUGUUGGGCCAUCUGGCUGGCGCGUAAUCGAGCCACUUUUGAGAAAAAACAGAUUAAGACUCCUUUUGAGAUUGUUUUCUCCUUUGUUUAUUUCUAUUGUACUGGACAGGUUUGCAAAAAGGAGAGGCGGCUGGAGAGCUUCGUGCAGGUGCAAAGAUGA
RNAcentral lists this ribosomal RNA (471 nucleotides) under Triticum aestivum (bread wheat). Its description in RNAcentral is "partial small subunit ribosomal RNA". The record is from RNAcentral. Lineage: Eukaryota; Viridiplantae; Streptophyta; Magnoliopsida; Poales; Poaceae.